UCACUUGUGGGCCUAAUGGAUAAGGCGUUGGACUUCGGAUCCGAAGAUUGCAGGUUCGACUCCUGUAUAGAGAA
RNAcentral lists this transfer RNA (74 nucleotides) under Angiostrongylus costaricensis. It matches the Rfam family "tRNA". Rfam says of the family: Transfer RNA (tRNA) molecules are approximately 80 nucleotides in length. The record is from Rfam by way of RNAcentral. Lineage: Eukaryota; Metazoa; Nematoda; Chromadorea; Rhabditida; Metastrongylidae.